Long non-coding RNA from Strigops habroptila (Kakapo), 117 nucleotides. RefSeq lists it as uncharacterized. The transcript is spliced from 3 exons. The record is from RefSeq and is a predicted model, not a curated record. Lineage: Eukaryota; Metazoa; Chordata; Aves; Psittaciformes; Psittacidae.
UGUGGCUGGCACUGGAGUAGCUGCAGUGCUUGUUGCAGUGGUUGGAAUAGCUGCAGCAUUUAUGCCUGUUGUUGGUAUGUAGUAACACAUGCCUGUCACUGGGGUUGGAGAAGCCGC